GACGAACGCUGGCGGCGUGCUUAACACAUGCAAGUCGAACGGAAAGGCCCUGCUUUUGUGGGGUGCCCGAGUGGCGAACGGGUGAGUAACACGUGAGUAACCUGCCCUUGACUUUGGGAUAACUUCAGGAAACUGGGGCUAAUACCGGAUAGGAGCUCCUGCUGCAUGGUGGGGGUUGGAAAGUUUCGGCGGUUGGGGAUGGACUCGCGGCUUAUCAGCUUGUUGGUGGGGGAGUGGCUUACCAAGGGUUUGACGGAUAGCCGGCCUGGGAGGGUGAACAGGCACAAUGGGACUGAGGGACGGACCAGAGGGCAACGGUAGGCAGCAGUGGAGAAUAUGGCACAAUGGGCGGGAGCCUGAUGCGGCAACGCCGCGUGCGUGAUGACGGCCUUGUGGGUGUAAACCGCAGUCGCCUGAGACGAAGCGUGAGUGACGGUAAUGGGUAAAGAAGCACCGGCUAACUACGUG
RNAcentral lists this ribosomal RNA (468 nucleotides) under uncultured bacterium. Its description in RNAcentral is "partial 16S ribosomal RNA". It matches the Rfam family "Bacterial small subunit ribosomal RNA", at positions 28 to 507 of the family's 1533-position model. The record is from RNAcentral.